GUCCCCACCCAUAACCGGCGGGUGGGGACCCCAUGUCACUUUAUUAUUUGUGGUCCCCACCCGCCGGUUAUGGGUGGGG
Pelobates cultripes (western spadefoot toad) is the source of this 79-nucleotide non-coding RNA. The record is from the annotation of a GenBank genome assembly. NCBI's taxonomy places the organism in Eukaryota, Metazoa, Chordata, Amphibia, Anura, Pelobatidae.